CCUACGGGUGGCAGCAGUGGGGAAUAUUGCACAAUGGGGGAAACCCUGAUGCAGCGACGCCGCGUGAGUGAAGAAGUAUUUCGUUAUGUAAAGCUCUAUCAGCAGGGAAGCAAAUGACGGUACCUGAGUAAGAAGCCCCGGCUAACUACGUGCCAGCAGCCGCGGUAAUACGUAGGGGGCAAGCGUUAUCCGGAUUUACUGGGUGUAAAGGGAGCGUAGACGGCAGAGCAAGUCUGGAGUGAAAGGCGGGGGCUCAACCCCAGGACUGCUCUGGAAACUGUACGGCUGGAGUGCAGGAGAGGGAAGAAGAAUUCCUGGUGUAGCGGUGAGAGGCGUAGAUAUGAGGAGGAACAGCAGUGGCGAAGGCGGCUUACUGUACAGUAACUGAUGUUGAGGCUCGAAAGCGUGGGGAGCAAACAGGAGUAGAUAUUGUAGUC
RNAcentral lists this ribosomal RNA (437 nucleotides) under uncultured bacterium. RNAcentral describes it as "partial 16S ribosomal RNA". It matches the Rfam family "Bacterial small subunit ribosomal RNA", at positions 338 to 795 of the family's 1533-position model. The record is from RNAcentral.